UACGUAGAGGGCUAGCGUUAUCCGGAAUUACUGGGCGUAAAGGGUGCGUAGGCGGUCUUUCAAGCCAGAAGUGAAAGGCUACGGCUCAACCGUAGUAAGCUUUUGGAACUGUAAGACUUGAGUGCAGGAGAGGAGAGUGGAAUUCCUAGUGUAGCGGUGAAAUGCGUAGAUAUUAGGAGGAACACCAGUAGCGAAGGCGGCUUUCUGGACUGACCCUGACGCUGAGGUGCGAAAGCGUGGGUAGCAAACAGGAUUAGAUACCCUGGUAGUCCCU
RNAcentral lists this ribosomal RNA (274 nucleotides) under uncultured prokaryote. Its description in RNAcentral is "partial 16S ribosomal RNA". It matches the Rfam family "Bacterial small subunit ribosomal RNA", at positions 524 to 798 of the family's 1533-position model. The record is from RNAcentral.